CCUACGGGUGGCAGCAGUGGGGAAUAUUGCACAAUGGGGGAAACCCUGAUGCAGCGACGCCGCGUGAGUGAAGAAGUAUUUCGGUAUGUAAAGCUCUAUCAGCAGGGAAGAAAAUGACGGUACCUGAUUAAGAAGCCCCGGCUAACUACGUGCCAGCAGCCGCGGUAAUACGUAGGGGGCAAGCGUUAUCCGGAUUUACUGGGUGUAAAGGGAGCGUAGGCGGCAGUACAAGUCAGGAGUGAAAUGCCGGGGCUUAACUCCGGGACUGCUUUUGAAACUGUGCAGCUAGAGUGCAGGAGAGGUAAGUGGAAUUCCUAGUGUAGCGGUGAAAUGCUUAGAUAUUAGGAAGAACUCCAGUUGCGAAGGCAGCAUACGGGAGUGUAACUGACGUUGAGGCUCGAAAGCGUGGGGAGCGAACAGGAUUAGAUACCCCUGUAGUC
Molecule: ribosomal RNA, 440 nt
Filed under: uncultured bacterium
Lineage: Bacteria
Description: partial 16S ribosomal RNA
Rfam family: Bacterial small subunit ribosomal RNA
Source: RNAcentral